GACGAACGCUGGCGGCGUGCUUAACACAUGCAAGUCGAACGGUGAAGCGCCUUCCUUUUUGGUGGGUGUGGAUGAGGGGCGAACGGGUGAGUAACACGUGUGUAACCUGCCCCCUUCUUCUGGAUAACCGCAUGAAAGUGUGGCUAAUACGGGAUAUUCUGGGUCUGUCGCAUGAUGGGUCUGGGAAAGAUAUUGUGUCGGUGGGGGAUGGGCUCGCGGCCUAUCUGCUUGUUGGUGGGGUGACCGCCUACCAAGGCGGUGGCGGGUAGCCGGCCUGAGGGGGUGGGCGGCCACACUGGGGCGGAGACACGGCGCAGACUCCGACGGGACGCAGCAGUGGGUAUUAGUGCACAGUGGGCGCAAUCCUGAUGCAGCGACGCCGCGUGGGGGAUGGAGUCCUUCUGGUUGUGACCCUCUUUCGCCAGUGAAGCAGGCCUGCCUCGUUUGUGGGUGGGUUGACGGUAGCUGGAUAAGAAGCGCCGGCUAACUACGUG
Molecule: ribosomal RNA, 494 nt
Filed under: uncultured bacterium
Lineage: Bacteria
Description: partial 16S ribosomal RNA
Rfam family: Bacterial small subunit ribosomal RNA
Source: RNAcentral